AUACGGGGGGGGCAAGCGUUAUUCGGAAUUAUUGGGCGUAAAGCGCACGUAGGCGGCUUGACAAGUCAAACGGUGAAAUCCCUCGGCUCAACCGAGGAACUGCCUUUGAAACUGUUUAGCUUGAGGCCGGGAGGGGGUAGCGGAAUUCCCAGUGUAGCGGUGAAAUGCGUAGAUAUUGGGAGGAACACCGGUGGCGAAGGCGGCUACCUGGACCGGUUCUGACGCUGAGGUGCGAAAGCGUGGGUAGCAAACAGGAUUAGAAACCCCGGUAGUCC
Molecule: ribosomal RNA, 275 nt
Filed under: uncultured bacterium
Lineage: Bacteria
Description: partial 16S ribosomal RNA
Rfam family: Bacterial small subunit ribosomal RNA
Source: RNAcentral